GCUAACGUUGCUUCCAGAGGCAGUUUGGAACUUGGUAGUGAGUGUGGCAACUGAGGACGGGCGAACUGACUUGUUGGAAAGGUGGCAUCCUAUGACUGUGCCACUUUGAAAGUCACUGAGCUCUUCAGUAAGGCCGUUCUACUGCCAAUAUUUGUAUAUGGCGAUUGCAUGCCUGUGUGCUCAAUUUUAUACACUAGUCAGCAACGGGUGUGGUUGAAAUGGCCAAAUCCACAAAUUUGAAGGGCUGUCCACAUACACUAUAUAUACAAAAGUAUGUCGCCCUUACCUUGCUCCCCCAUCUUUAGUCCACUUAGCAGAUCAAUGCUCUCUGGUCCAUCUUCUAUUGUCUCCUCUUUCACCAGCAGCAGAUCAGGCUUCCCAUCCUCCAUGUUGUCUACUGACUGCAAGAAAUAAGGUUGGGUUUACUUGACACUAUUUGGGUUGGAAUUUGAUCUUUCAAAGGCAUGUCAAGACCAGGGCAGUGGCACUCAUACUAUGAGACAAUCUAGGGUGGCGCAAUGGUCUUAGGCACUGCAUCGCCGUGCUAGAGGCAUCACUACAGACCCUGGUUCGAUCCUGGGCUGUAUCACAACCGGCUGUGAUCGGGAGGGCGGCGCAUAAUUGGCCCAGGGUCGUCCGGGUUUGGCCGGGGUAGGCCGUCAUUGUAAAUAAGAAUUUGUUCUUAACUGACUUGCCUAGUUGAAUAGAGGAUAUGUCCAUAUAAUCUUAUUAAUUAUGAUCUACAAGGCAAACUGAUCUUAGAUCAACACUCCUGAGACACUGACCUAGUACCAUUCAAACAGUAGUUCAGUGGGCUCACCUCAGUGAGACUGUGUGUAGUCCUGUGCUGCUCAGCUGGUUCCUCUGUGGGUUCAGGAGGAGGUAUAGUCUGGUUGUCCUCCAUGACCAUGGUCCCCUCAGGGUUCCCCAGACCCUCCUCACACCCCUCCUCCUUCACCAGCAGCACCUCUGGACCCUCCUCUUCCUCCUCCGUGAUGCUGCAUAGGGCCCCGGGCUGGGGCGCGGUGGCGAGGUCCUCUGUGGCUAGAGGGGGUGCCACUCCAGCCACUCCAAUCUGGAUGUCUCUGCUGUGUCGUCGGUGCUCUCCUUCAGUCCUCUCCUGCUUGACCAAAGACGAUCCUCCAGGACCUACAGCCUCUGCAUCUGCAGACUGACACAAGAAGAGGAUUACAGUGUUGUUCCUGAGCCCAGAGUUGAGGAAGCUGUCUAAUCCACUGACCUCCGAUGUCGCCUCUGGUCCUGGCCUGCUUGGUGAUGUCAUCAAAAAUCUCUGAAGCUGGAGUCUUAUAUCUCCCUCUCUAACUUUAAGCAUCAGCUGUCUGAGCAGCUUACCGAUCACUGUACCUGUACUCAGCCAAUCUGUAAAUAGCACACCCGACUACCUCAUCCCCAUAGUAUUACUUACCCUCUUGCUCUUUUGCACCCCAGUAUCUCUACUUGCACAUCAUCAUCUGCACAUCUAUCACUCCAGUAUUAAUGCUAAAUUGUAAUUAUUUUCGCCUCUAGGGCCUAUUUAUUGCCUACCUCCCUAAUCUUCUACAUUUGCACUCACUGUACAUAGAUUUUUCAAUUUUUCUUUUCUUUUGUGUUAUUGACUGUACAUUUGUUUAUGUGCAACUCUGUGUUGUUGUUUCUGUCGCACUGCUUUGCUUUAUCUUGGCCAGGUCGCAGUUGUAAACGAUAACUUGUUCUCAACUGGCCUACCUGGUUAAAUAAAGGUGAAAUAAAAAAAUAUAAAUAAAAUCCCUAGGGGCCUUGGUUGCACAAGUCUGGGAAUCCAAGAUGGCCGCCCAGUCUCCU
Molecule: long non-coding RNA, 1821 nt
Filed under: Salmo trutta (river trout)
Lineage: Eukaryota; Metazoa; Chordata; Actinopteri; Salmoniformes; Salmonidae
Description: lncRNA (ENSSTUG00000013894.1)
Source: RNAcentral